GACUUGACAUCUCCUGAAUUACUCUUAAUCGAGGAAGUCCCUUCGGGGACAGGAAGACAGGUGGUGCAUGGUUGUCGUCAGCUCGUGUCGUGAGAUGUUGGGUUAAGUCCCGCAACGAGCGCAACCCUUAUUGUUAGUUGCUACUAUUAAGUUAAGCACUCUAACGAGACUGCCGCGGUUAACGUGGAGGAAGGUGGGGAUGACGUCAAAUCAUCAUGCCCCUUAUGUCUAGGGCUACACACGUGCUACAAUGGCUGGUACAACGAGCAGCAAACCCGCGAGGGGGAGCAAAACUUGAAAGCCAGUCCCAGUUCGGAUUGUAGGCUGAAACUCGCCUACAUGAAGUUGGAGUUGCUAGUAAUCGCGAAUCAGCAUGUCGCGGUGAAUACGUUCCCGGGUCUUGUACACACCGCCCGUCACACCAUGAGAGCCGGUAACACCCGAAGCCCGUGAGGUAACCGUAAGGAGCCAGCGGUCGAAGGUGGGAUUGGUGAUUGGGGUGAAGUCGUAACAAGGUAGCCGUAGGAGAACCUGCGGCUGGAUCACAUCCUUUCUAGGGA
This 560-nucleotide ribosomal RNA is filed under the name Clostridium botulinum C. RNAcentral's name for it is "bacterial SSU rRNA". It matches the Rfam family "Bacterial small subunit ribosomal RNA", at positions 978 to 1533 of the family's 1533-position model. Lineage: Bacteria; Bacillati; Bacillota; Clostridia; Eubacteriales; Clostridiaceae. The record is from RNAcentral.